UUGCACAAUGGGCGCAAGCCUGAUGCAGCCAUGCCGCGUGUAUGAAGAAGGCCUUCGGGUUGUAAAGGUACUUUCAGCAGUGAGGAAGUGGGUAUGUUAAUAGCAUAUUCAUUUGACGUUAGCUGCAGAAGAAGCACCGGCUAACUCCGUGCCAGCAGCCGCGGUAAUACGGAGGGUGCGAGCGUUAAUCGGAAUUACUGGGCGUAAAGCGCAUGCAGGUGGUUUGUUAAGUCAGAUGUGAAAGCCCGGGGCUCAACCUCGGAAUUGCAUUUGAAACUGGCAAACUAGAGUACUGUAGAGGGGGUAGAAGUUUCAGGUGUAGCGGUGAAAUGCGUAGAGAUCUGAAGGAAUACCGGUGGCGAAGGCGGCCCCCUCGGACAGAUACUGACACUCAGAUGCGAAAGCGUGGGGAGCAAACAGGAUUAGAUACCCUGGUAG
This 438-nucleotide ribosomal RNA is filed under the name uncultured bacterium. RNAcentral describes it as "bacterial SSU rRNA". It matches the Rfam family "Bacterial small subunit ribosomal RNA", at positions 364 to 793 of the family's 1533-position model. The record is from RNAcentral.